Molecule: long non-coding RNA, 434 nt
Organism: Rattus norvegicus (Norway rat)
Lineage: Eukaryota; Metazoa; Chordata; Mammalia; Rodentia; Muridae
Source: RefSeq, a predicted model, not a curated record
UUAUGAAGCCAACUGGGAAGACACAGCCCAGAAAAUGAUAGAGGACUUCUUCCCUGGAGCAGCAGAGAGACUCUGCAUUAGAACAUGAGGAAGAAAAGAGGCCCAGGAAAAGGAGGUAACUGAUUAUAGCAGUCAGCCCUUGCUCCAGUCAGCAGGUACCAUGCAGACAACAUGGAGUUUAUCUCAGAUCCUGCGGAAUGGAAGGUAUUGCAAUUUUGCUGGUAUCGGUGACCCGGCAUCUCUGAAUUAUUUCCUGCUUUGGUUUACAGAGGAAUAAGCCUGUAAUUAAUUAUAUAUCAGAACAUGAGAAUCGACCUGGCAAUGAUGUACAGGCUAAGAACGCUCUAUUUACAUAUGUAGGUUAUUUAAAAUAUGUUGUGUUAGAUAAAUAUUUAAAAUUCCUUCUUAUUUGGCUUAUAAAGUGCUCAAAAAGA